Molecule: long non-coding RNA, 480 nt
Filed under: Sorghum bicolor (sorghum)
Lineage: Eukaryota; Viridiplantae; Streptophyta; Magnoliopsida; Poales; Poaceae
Description: long non-coding RNA (SBIC_LNC006740)
Source: RNAcentral
GAUACGAGGAAAUAAAAAGGGGCAAGUGCUCGGAACCUCGAAAGAAAAGAAAAAGUGAGACGAGAGGUAAAAAUGGACAAGUGUCCGACAGUAGAAUUAGGGGUACAAGAUACCCAUCUGAGAGAAACGAAAAAGAAAAUAUAGAGCAUCUCAUUCUCCCCAAGUUUCAAAAGAGCAAGAAAGGUAUGUAUCCCCUCAAAAGAGCAUAAGUAGAAUUAGACUUUCACCAUUGUUAUCACCAUCAUCACCAUACACCAUUCAUUCACCACACAUGCACAUCUUGAUUUGACUUAUUGACUUGUUUCUUUGGAUCCAUGGUUUGACUAUGCAAUAAAUGUCUUAUGAGUAUGUAUAUUUCAUCUCCCACCUAUGAGCUCCAGAUAUCAAAAGCCUUAUUAGAGUAGGGUGAGAGAGAAGGCAAUGUCACUAUGCCUUAUACCACAAAUAAUACAUAUUUUGAGAGAAGGCAUAUACCAUCAC